AGAGUUUGAUCCUGGCUCAGAUUGAACGCUGGCGGCAUGCCUUACACAUGCAAGUCGAACGGUAACGCGGGGCAACCUGGCGACGAGUGGCGAACGGGUGAGUAACGCAUCGGAACGUGCCCAGUAGUGGGGGAUAGCCCGGCGAAAGCCGGAUUAAUACCGCAUACGACCUACGGGUGAAAGCGGGGGAUCGCGAGACCUCGCGCUAUUGGAGCGGCCGAUGUCAGAUUAGGUAGUUGGUGAGGUAAAGGCUCACCAAGCCUUCGAUCUGUAGCUGGUCUGAGAGGACGACCAGCCACACUGGGACUGAGACACGGCCCAGACUCCUACGGGAGGCAGCAGUGGGGAAUUUUGGACAAUGGGCGCAAGCCUGAUCCAGCCAUGCCGCGUGCGGGAAGAAGGCCUUCGGGUUGUAAACCGCUUUUGUCAGGGAAGAAACGCUCUGGGCUAAUACCCCGGGGUAAUGACGGUACCUGAAGAAUAAGCACCGGCUAACUACGUGCCAGCAGCCGCGGUAAUACGUAGGGUGCAAGCGUUAAUCGGAAUUACUGGGCGUAAAGCGUGCGCAGGCGGUUAUGCAAGACAGAUGUGAAAUCCCCGGGCUUAACCUGGGAACUGCAUUUGUGACUGCAUGGCUAGAGUGCGGCAGAGGGGGAUGGAAUUCCGCGUGUAGUAGUGAAAUGCGUAGAUAUGCGGAGGAACACCGAUGGCGAAGGCAAUCCCCUGGGCCUGCACUGACGCUCAUGCACGAAAGCGUGGGGAGCAAACAGGAUUAGAUACCCUGGUAGUCCACGCCCUAAACGAUGUCAACUGGUUGUUGGAAGGGUUCCCUUUCAGUAACGAAGCUAACGCGUGAAGUUGACCGCCUGGGGAGUGCGGCCGCAAGGUUGAAACUCAAAGGAAUUGACGGGGACCCGCACAAGCGGUGGAUGAUGUGGUUUAAUUCGAUGCAACGCGAAAACCUUACCUACCCUUGACAUGUCUGGAAUUCUGCAGAGAUGUGGAAGUGCUCGAAAGAGAACCAGAACACAGGUGCUGCAUGGCCGUCGUCAGCUCGUGUCGUGAGAUGUUGGGUUAAGUCCCGCAACGAGCGCAACCCUUGUCAUUAGUUGCUACGAAAGGGCACUCUAAUGAGACUGCCGGUGACAAACCGGAGGAAGGUGGGGAUGACGUCAGGUCCUCAUGGCCCUUAUGGGUAGGGCUACACACGUCAUACAAUGGCCGGUACAGAGGGCUGCCAACCCGCGAGGGGGAGCUAAUCCCAGAAAACCGGUCGUAGUCCGGAUCGCAGUCUGCAACUCGACUGCGUGAAGUCGGAAUCGCUAGUAAUCGCGGAUCAGCUUGCCGCGGUGAAUACGUUCCCGGGUCUUGUACACACCGCCCGUCACACCAUGGGAGCGGGUUCUGCCAGAAGUAGUUAGCCUAACCGCAAGGAGGGCGAUUACCACGGCAGGGUUCGUGACUGGGGUGAAGUCGUAACAAGGUA
Molecule: ribosomal RNA, 1486 nt
Filed under: metagenome
Description: bacterial SSU rRNA
Rfam family: Bacterial small subunit ribosomal RNA
Source: RNAcentral